Molecule: ribosomal RNA, 600 nt
Filed under: uncultured Bacteroidales bacterium
Lineage: Bacteria; Pseudomonadati; Bacteroidota; Bacteroidia; Bacteroidales
Description: bacterial SSU rRNA
Rfam family: Bacterial small subunit ribosomal RNA
Source: RNAcentral
AGCCUUUCGAAAGAAAGAUUAAUACCCGAUGGCAUAAUGAUUCCGCAUGGUUUCAUUAUUAAAGGAUUCCGGUAAAGGAUGGGGAUGCGUUCCAUUAGGUUGUUGGUGAGGUAACGGCUCACCAAGCCUUCGAUGGAUAGGGGUUCUGAGAGGAAGGUCCCCCACAUUGGAACUGAGACACGGUCCAAACUCCUACGGGAGGCAGCAGUGAGGAAUAUUGGUCAAUGGGCGUUAGCCUGAACCAGCCAAGUAGCGUGAAGGAUGAAGGCUCUAUGGGUCGUAAACUUCUUUUAUAUAAGAAUAAAGUGCAGUAUGUAUACUGUUUUGUAUGUAUUAUAUGAAUAAGGAUCGGCUAACUCCGUGCCAGCAGCCGCGGUAAUACGGAGGAUCCGAGCGUUAUCCGGAUUUAUUGGGUUUAAAGGGAGCGUAGAUGGAUGUUUAAGUCAGUUGUGAAAGUUUGCGGCUCAACCGUAAAAUUGCAGUUGAUACUGGAUAUCUUGAGUGCAGUUGAGGCAGGCGGAAUUCGUGGUGUAGCGGUGAAAUGCUUAGAUAUCACGAAGACUCCGAUUGCGAAGGCAGCCUGCUAAGCUGCAACUGACA